RNAcentral lists this long non-coding RNA (869 nucleotides) under Rattus norvegicus (Norway rat). Its description in RNAcentral is "long non-coding RNA NONRATT022648". The record is from RNAcentral. Lineage: Eukaryota; Metazoa; Chordata; Mammalia; Rodentia; Muridae.
UGAAAAUGUGAACAGUUUGUUCUUCCUUUGCUAAUUCCCCCAUCCUCCAAAUGUUGGAAUAAUUUCUCUCUAGGAUUGAGUUUCUCCAGAGUCCAAAAAGACCUGGUGAUCAAGGCUAAGGGUUAGGGUUCGCUAAGGAUAGGGUUGACAGGACCCCUUGGUUACAAGUUUAUGCACACAGGAUUAGGUGUACCCCUGACUGGUGACCUGUGACCCCUUAAAUAGAGGGACUUAGUUUCCCUGGGGAUAUUCGAUGAAAGACAGUGGGCUUUGGAAAAGUAUACAUUAUUGAGUUUUCAAUACCAAAACGUGAACAGCAAAACUUUGGCCAGUUAGCAAAGGAACCUGUUAGUACAGAGUUCUAGCAUGUUAGAGAUCAAGAUGGUGGCAUGGGAGUGCAGUCUGAGAUGUGCUUUCUGGGAGUAAAGCCUUAAAGGGCGUGAGUGAGGUCAAGGGCCUUCAGACAGGACCCUGCUCAGGAGCACUGUGUUUAUUGGACCCCCACCCUCCUGGCCAUCUGCCUAUUGCUCAUGCUUUGGACCCAUCGGAGGUUUUACAAGUCACCAGGAGACUGACCUUGACUCCUACAGUGGAUGAGCCUAUUUCUGAACCACCAACAGACAGGCACAUUUGUGGCCUCUCUUUCUGGAGGUUGGCCAAGGCCAAUGGCAGAUCUCCCGGGAGUAGCUUACUGUAUAAGGAGCUAGCUCUGGUCCCUGCUCCUCUCUACUCCACUCCAGUCCUCCUGCUUGUGGAGAAACACUGGGAACCUCUGAGCCUGCAGAGUGAAGGCAGACAGAACUGCAGCUCACAUCAUCCUAGAGCCACACCUCUACCCAUUGAGCUGACCACCAGUUACCCAAACAAAG